GUCCACUAGGAUUUCAGCAGAUACUCUAAGGGUAUGGCUGGGUUUGUUAAAGUCCAGAGAAAGAACUUUCAAGAACCAGCAAAGAAAAUAUGUCAAAACUCCAAAUUCUAAAGGGCUAGCCCAUCUGAGCAGAGCAACAAGAUUACAAUCAAGAAUGAUGCAGAGAAGGGCAACCACCAUAGUGCGAUGAUCUGCUAAGCCUGAAAAUGAAGAUUUAUGCCGGAAAGCCUGGCAGGACCCUAAAAUGCAGCAUUGCAAGUUGUGGGAAUGUAAUAAUGUAAGCUCAUUCCUAAUAAAACCAAC
RNAcentral lists this long non-coding RNA (303 nucleotides) under Gopherus agassizii (Agassiz's desert tortoise). RNAcentral's name for it is "lncRNA (ENSGAGG00000002105.1)". The record is from RNAcentral. Lineage: Eukaryota; Metazoa; Chordata; Testudines; Testudinidae.